CGUCCCCAGCCCCCCCGCACACCUAACAGCCCCUCCCAGAGCAUCAGAGCCCCGGGCCCGGCAGGCUGCACAGGCUGUGGGUGCCAAGGUAGGAAUGGUCCCUCCCACAUGCGAGGGGGCGUCUGCUCCGGCGAGAGGGGGUCUCAGUUCCCGUCCCCUUGCCCCUUCCCAGGGCGCCUUGUGCAAACCCCGGCACCCCCCAGCCCUCUACGUGCACCCACUGGUGCCCGCCACACUGGGAUCCUGUCCUGGCUGGCGUGGGAGGUAGGAUCGCAGGCCCAGGACAAGGCGCGGAUGUGCCGCUUUGCUCCAGACGUGCCAGGCCAGGCCUCAUGGCAGGGGAACGCCGCCGGGGAGGUUUGCAGGUGUCACAGGCUGGUGUGCCUGGAAAACCCAACAGCCUCCGUGGAGUCACCAGAAAAGGGAGUCGAGCAGCGCGUAUAACAGUAACACCCAGAAAUAAAUAGCUUUCAUAUAUCCAGACAGUAGCCAGUCGGAAGAAAAAUUGGCAGAGGAUCUUCUACCCGCAACAGCAACAGAAGAGCUAAAAUGCCCGAGAAAUGUGCGAACCCACGGGGAGCUGGGCCCGAGCACGGAAAACCCUCGACACCAUCCAGAGGCCCGUUGUCCCCACGUUCACCUGUAGACAUGACACGAUCCCAAUAAAAACCCACAUCUGUGCAACUGAGCAGCUCAGACGGAGAAAUCGCAAGCCGGCAGGAGCCAAAGAAACCAAGAAAAGAAAGUGAAAGAGGAGCAGCUUUCUCAGAUGAACCACUCGUGAUGGAGACGGAUGGAGGCGCCCGCGCGCCCGAGGACGUGGGGACACGCUGACGUGGUCAGAAAGGGCGUUCACGGCCACCCAUACAGGCAUCCAUCACCGGGCUGUGGGGACAUCGCAGGGACGUCUACUGCAUCUCCGCGUCCUGCUGCCUGUUGCCCACAUCACUCUCACUUCUCACGCCGUGGACCCCGCACAGAUCCCAAAUAGAACUAUAAAUGAGAAACCCUGCAAGACGCAGAGGGCAGGGGCGAGUUCCUUCACGGAGGAGCAGGAAAACCUUCCUAAUGCUGCCUCGAAAUCAGCAGCAUAAAGAGAAGGUCGAGACAAAUUGGAAAACACUUUAAUGUGGCAAAAAAAAAAAAGUGUCAAAGCGA
Molecule: long non-coding RNA, 1158 nt
Organism: Canis lupus familiaris (dog)
Lineage: Eukaryota; Metazoa; Chordata; Mammalia; Carnivora; Canidae
Exons: 2
Source: RefSeq, a predicted model, not a curated record